This 253-nucleotide ribosomal RNA is filed under the name uncultured bacterium. RNAcentral describes it as "partial 16S ribosomal RNA". It matches the Rfam family "Bacterial small subunit ribosomal RNA", at positions 524 to 776 of the family's 1533-position model. The record is from RNAcentral.
UACGUAGGGUGCGAGCGUUAAUCGGAAUUACUGGGCGUAAAGCGUGCGCAGGCGGUUUUGUAAGACAGAUGUGAAAUCCCCGGGCUCAACCUGGGAACUGCGUUUGUGACUGCAAGACUUGAGUAUGGCAGAGGGGGGUAGAAUUCCACGUGUAGCAGUGAAAUGCGUAGAUAUCGGGAGGAAUACCUAUGGCGAAAGCAGGCUUCUGGGCCGUCACUGACGCUGAUCUGCGAAAGCUAGGGGAGCAAACAGG